Molecule: ribosomal RNA, 433 nt
Filed under: uncultured bacterium
Lineage: Bacteria
Description: partial 16S ribosomal RNA
Rfam family: Bacterial small subunit ribosomal RNA
Source: RNAcentral
AACGAACGCUGGCGGCAUGCCUAACACAUGCCAGUCGAACGAAGGCUUCGGUCUUAGUGGCGCAAGGGUGCGUAACGCGUGGGAAUCUGCCCUUUGGUUCGGUAUCCCAGCUGUAAACGGCUGCUAAUACCGGAUGAUGACGAAAGUCCAAAGAUUUAUCGCCAGAGGAUGGGCCCGCGUUGGAUUAGGUAGUGGGUGGGGUAAAGGCCUACCAAGCAGACGAUCCAUAGCUGGUCUGAGAGGCUGAUCAGCCACACUGGGACUGAGACACGGCCCAGACUCGUACGGGGGGGAGGAGUAGGGAAUAUUAGGCAAUGGGCGCAAGCCUGAUCAAGCAGUGCCGCGGGAGUGAUGAAGGCGCCAGGGUUGUAAAGCUCUUUUACCCGGGGAGAUAAUGACUGUACCGGGAGAAUAAGCCCCGGCUAACUCCGUG